Molecule: long non-coding RNA, 422 nt
Filed under: Oryza brachyantha (malo sina)
Lineage: Eukaryota; Viridiplantae; Streptophyta; Magnoliopsida; Poales; Poaceae
Description: long non-coding RNA (OBRA_LNC001445)
Source: RNAcentral
CCCUCCCCUCCCCUCUCCGCCUCCUCCCUGUUCCCUCCUCUGCCGAACACCACAGCUAGCGUGCGCGGGGGGGUGUGGUGCUCUCGCUCUGCUCUCGGCACGCCGCCUCCUGCCUCGCACACUCGCUCUCCCUCCCACUGUUCCCCGCUUGGUUGGGUUUGGUCUGAGGAGGAGCGAGGGAUUGGUGGCGUGGAUUCGGGGGGAGGGGAGGUGGGAGAUCGGCCGCCGGAGGAGGUAGCGGGGGUGAUCCUCGGGGGGAGGUUCUUGCGUCGGUCCGGCGGUAAUACGAGGGGACCCGCCCAUGGCGUGAGGAAAGGGCCUGGCUUUGGUUGCCCUCCCCGGAGAUCUUGCGGCUGCUGCUGUUUGCUGCUAGCUGAAGGCCGUUCGGUAGCCGAGCGGGCCGAGGGGGACGUCUCCCUCUC